RNAcentral lists this ribosomal RNA (345 nucleotides) under Triticum aestivum (bread wheat). RNAcentral's name for it is "partial small subunit ribosomal RNA". The record is from RNAcentral. Lineage: Eukaryota; Viridiplantae; Streptophyta; Magnoliopsida; Poales; Poaceae.
AUUAGCAAAGCUAUACCAAAAAUAGGUUCACGUAAGAAAGUGCCUAUUAGUUUGCGUAAGAAUGCCCGUUUUAGUUUACGGAAGAGUGCACGUAGAAUAACAAAAGGGGUUAUUCAUGUGAAAGCCAGUUUCAACAAUACCGAAAUCAUAACAUUAAGACUAUGCCUCUCGCGAAAGCGAAUCUGUGCCUCCAUGGAAAAUAUAUCUGUGCCUCUCGUGGAAGGAAAAAUACAUUUUUUCAUGCAAUUUUAUUUUGAUUUUUUUGUCCAAAAUCUAAGAAAAACAAAUGAAAACCAAAAAACUAAAAAAAUUGUCGAAAAGCUGAAAAUGCAUACAGAAAAAUAA